This is a non-coding RNA of Oryza sativa Japonica Group (Japanese rice), 181 nucleotides long. The record is from RefSeq and is a predicted model, not a curated record. NCBI's taxonomy places the organism in Eukaryota, Viridiplantae, Streptophyta, Magnoliopsida, Poales, Poaceae.
GCGUCGUAGAAGCCUCCGACCAAGCUCUUCCGGACGGUGCUGUCGGAGAGGCCAUCCUUCAUGCAAGAAUUCCCCCUCCAGCUGACGCCGUUAUGCUUCGGCAGCGGACCAGCUGACAUUCAGAACGAUACAUCGUCAGAAGACAGAGAUGGAGACGGAGGGAGGAAAGGAGUGAAAAAAA